CUACCUGUCAUACUAGAGUGAGCGAUGAGGAUCGUUUGCUGUUUUAUGAGGGACUGACUGGGGUUACCAGUAGGAAGUUUGAGGCAAUAACAGGUCUGUGAUGCCCUUAGAUGUUCUGGGCUGCACGCGCGCUACACUGAUGGAGGCAGCGAGUGUUGCCUGUGCCGGAAGGCAUGGGAAAUCUUGUGAAACUCCAUCGUGCUGGGGAUAGACCAUUGCAAUUAUUGGUCUUCAACGAGGAAUUCCUAGUAAGCGCAAGUCAUCAGCUUGCGUUGAUUACGUCCCUGCCCUUUGUACACACCGCCCGUCGCU
RNAcentral lists this ribosomal RNA (312 nucleotides) under uncultured fungus. RNAcentral's name for it is "SSU rRNA". It matches the Rfam family "Eukaryotic small subunit ribosomal RNA", at positions 1344 to 1680 of the family's 1831-position model. The record is from RNAcentral. Lineage: Eukaryota; Fungi.